GCACGCGUGCUUGCAUGCAGGGCCAUGACUUUGGGACCCGCCCCAACAUGAGGAUGAAGCACAAAAGUGCGGGAAUCCGAAUGGUGGGAAGGAUUGCGGGAGCGCGAAGCGCGGAGCAAUCCGGGGU
RNAcentral lists this small RNA (127 nucleotides) under uncultured Anaerobutyricum sp. Its description in RNAcentral is "Clostridiales-1 RNA". It matches the Rfam family "Clostridiales-1 RNA", at positions 28 to 158 of the family's 166-position model. The record is from RNAcentral. Lineage: Bacteria; Bacillati; Bacillota; Clostridia; Lachnospirales; Lachnospiraceae.